GGAGAGGUGUCCGAGUUGGCCGAAGGAGCGCGAUUGGAAAUCGCGUAGGCGGUGUCAAGCCGUCUCGAGGGUUCGAAUCCCUCCCUCUCCG
This 91-nucleotide transfer RNA is filed under the name uncultured Rubrobacter sp. It matches the Rfam family "tRNA". From Rfam's summary of the family: Transfer RNA (tRNA) molecules are approximately 80 nucleotides in length. Their secondary structure includes four short double-helical elements and three loops (D, anti-codon, and T loops). RNAcentral also lists the same sequence under 1 other name. The record is from RNAcentral. Lineage: Bacteria; Bacillati; Actinomycetota; Rubrobacteria; Rubrobacterales; Rubrobacteraceae.